This 500-nucleotide ribosomal RNA is filed under the name uncultured bacterium. RNAcentral describes it as "partial 16S ribosomal RNA". It matches the Rfam family "Bacterial small subunit ribosomal RNA", at positions 30 to 523 of the family's 1533-position model. The record is from RNAcentral.
AUUGAACGCUGGCGGCAUGCCUUACACAUGCAAGUCGAACGGCAGCACGGGAGCAAUCCUGGUGGCGAGUGGCGAACGGGUGAGUAAUAUAUCGGAACGUGCCCAGUCGCGGGGGAUAACGCAGCGAAAGCUGUGCUAAUACCGCAUACGAUCUAAGGAUGAAAGCGGGGGAUCGCAAGACCUCGCGCGAUUGGAGCGGCCGAUAUCAGAUUAGCUAGUUGGUGGGGUAAAGGCCCACCAAGGCGACGAUCUGUAUCUGGUCUGAGAGGACGACGAGCCACACUGGAACUGGGACACGGUCCAGACUCCUACGGGAGGCAGCAGUGGGGAAUUUUGGACAAUGGGCGCAAGCCUGAUCCAGCAAUGCCGCGUGCAGGAUGAAGGCCUUCGGGUUGUAAACUGCUUUUGUACGGAACGAAACGGCCCUUUCUAAUACAGGGGGCUAAUGACGGUACCGUAAGAAUAAGCACCGGCUAACUACGUGCCAGCCGCCGCGGUAA